CCAGGCUGUCCAAAAAGUCUCGGGAUCCAUUGGCAUCCCAGAUUUUCACUCCCUUGGAAGACAGCUCUUUAGCAUUUGUGGAUCCCUGGAAGAGAUGGGGAGAGCAGAGCAGGAAUCCAGUGCAGAUGCAUCAACUCCUGUAUUUGAUCGAGUCACCAAUGGAGUAACUCCAACUAUCAAGGAUUUCCAGGUCCCAGAUGAAGAGAUAAUUCUACUUACUGGAUAUAGGAUGCAUUAGAUCUUCUUACCUUAAAAAAAAAAAGGCAGCAAUGAUCAAAAUACUAAUAAAUUACUUACAGACUCAGUGUAUUUUUUCUUGGAGUAAAAGUCCAGGAUGGUUAGUAGAAUAAAUGCUCUUGGCUUUUGGAAAAAUUGAUACUGUAUAUAGCAAAAUAAUGUGAAACCCAUAUACAUGGAUAUUCUUAACAAUUUGAAGAAAUCUUCACAGUUUUCCUAGGUUGUUGAGCCUCUAGAUGGUCUUUUCCUCUGAUGUGAUAAUAAAGUGUUUAUUCUGUACUCU
Nomascus leucogenys (northern white-cheeked gibbon) is the source of this 520-nucleotide long non-coding RNA. RefSeq lists it as uncharacterized. The record is from RefSeq and is a predicted model, not a curated record. The transcript has 3 exons. NCBI's taxonomy places the organism in Eukaryota, Metazoa, Chordata, Mammalia, Primates, Hylobatidae.